ACAUUUGGUUGCAGUUGAUUGCCAAUGCAGAGAACCGUUUAUUUGUGAUCGAAACGAUCAAUUUUGAGACCAUAAGGCUCUGCUCUAAACAUUUCAAUGAUCAAAGUUUUUGUACGGCGAAUAAUCAAAAAAGUCUAAAAAAGGAUGCUGUUCCGUCGAUCUUCGGAGCAUGCCCAGAAACACGCCUUGAAAGUGGAUACCGCAUAAAGCAACAAAUGGUAUGCGAUCAUGAAGCAGGAGAAGGAGCAUCCCAUUCGAAUUCAUUGGAACAGUCAAAAAGAGACGCCGUGGUGAGAAAUUUAAGACAGCGAUGUACGAGACAACAGGAUUUAAUAAAAAUAAAAUUUCGUCUGCGGAAAUUACAGCUGGCCAAUAGACGUUUCAGGACUCAGAAUGCCAGACUUAGAACAAGACUCUGUAAAACCGAGCAGCUAUU
Long non-coding RNA from Sabethes cyaneus, 436 nucleotides. RefSeq lists it as uncharacterized. The record is from RefSeq and is a predicted model, not a curated record. NCBI's taxonomy places the organism in Eukaryota, Metazoa, Arthropoda, Insecta, Diptera, Culicidae. The transcript is spliced from 3 exons.